UCGCCUGCAUGAAGUCGGAAUUGCUAGUAAUCGCGGAUCAGCAUGCCGCGGUGAAUACGUUCCCGGGCCUUGUACACACCGCCCGUCACACCAUGGGAGUCGGUAACACCCGAAGCCGAUAGUCUAACGAAAGAGGACGCCGUCGAAGGUGGGAUUGAUGACUGGGGUGAAGUCGUAACAAGGUAUC
RNAcentral lists this ribosomal RNA (187 nucleotides) under uncultured bacterium. Its description in RNAcentral is "partial 16S ribosomal RNA". It matches the Rfam family "Bacterial small subunit ribosomal RNA", at positions 1312 to 1500 of the family's 1533-position model. The record is from RNAcentral.